RNAcentral lists this ribosomal RNA (1071 nucleotides) under Cladosporium sp. RNAcentral describes it as "SSU rRNA". It matches the Rfam family "Eukaryotic small subunit ribosomal RNA", at positions 34 to 1113 of the family's 1831-position model. Lineage: Eukaryota; Fungi; Ascomycota; Dothideomycetes; Cladosporiales; Cladosporiaceae. The record is from RNAcentral.
AUGUGCUAAGAUUAAGCCAUGCAUGUCUAAGUAUAAGCAACUAUACGGUGAAACUGCGAAUGGCUCAUUAAAUCAGUUAUCGUUUAUUUGAUAGUACCUUACUACAUGGAUAACCGUGGUAAUUCUAGAGCUAAUACAUGCUAAAAACCUCGACUUCGGAAGGGGUGUAUUUAUUAGAUAAAAAACCAAUGCCCUUCGGGGCUCCUUGGUGAAUCAUAAUAACUUAACGAAUCGCAUGGCCUUGCGCCGGCGAUGGUUCAUUCAAAUUUCUGCCCUAUCAACUUUCGAUGGUAGGAUAGUGGCCUACCAUGGUAUCAACGGGUAACGGGGAAUUAGGGUUCGACUCCGGAGAGGGAGCCUGAGAAACGGCUACCACAUCCAAGGAAGGCAGCAGGCGCGCAAAUUACCCAAUCCCGACACGGGGAGGUAGUGACAAUAAAUACUGAUACAGGGCUCUUUUGGGUCUUGUAAUUGGAAUGAGUACAAUUUAAAUCCCUUAACGAGGAACAAUUGGAGGGCAAGUCUGGUGCCAGCAGCCGCGGUAAUUCCAGCUCCAAUAGCGUAUAUUAAAGUUGUUGCAGUUAAAAAGCUCGUAGUUGAACCUUGGGCCUGGCUGGCCGGUCCGCCUCACCGCGUGUACUGGUCCGGCCGGGCCUUUCCUUCUGGGGAACCUCAUGCCCUUCACUGGGCGUGUUGGGGAACCAGGACUUUUACUUUGAAAAAAUUAGAGUGUUCAAAGCAGGCCUUUGCUCGAAUACAUUAGCAUGGAAUAAUAGAAUAGGACGUGUGGUUCUAUUUUGUUGGUUUCUAGGACCGCCGUAAUGAUUAAUAGGGAUAGUCGGGGGCAUCAGUAUUCAAUCGUCAGAGGUGAAAUUCUUGGAUUGAUUGAAGACUAACUACUGCGAAAGCAUUUGCCAAGGAUGUUUUCAUUAAUCAGUGAACGAAAGUUAGGGGAUCGAAGACGAUCAGAUACCGUCGUAGUCUUAACCAUAAACUAUGCCGACUAGGGAUCGGACGGUGUUAGUAUUUUGACCCGUUCGGCACCUUACGAGAAAUCAAAGUUUUUGGGUU